UCCGCUGGCCUCGGCCUCCCAAAAUGCUAGGAUUACAGGCAUGAGCCACUGCACCCAGCCAGAAUGGGGAAUGGGGGUUCUUAAUCUCCUCCAGUCUGUGGAUAGAAUUCAGGGGUCUGUGAACAUGGAUGAGAAAAAAAUAGCAUCAUUAUUUAUUCCUAGUGUAGCUAAAAUGUGUAGUAUGGCCUUUGAUUAUGAAUGUACACAAUAAAUGUCACAGCAUUAGAAAGGCUUGUGACUACCCACAUAAUGCAUGAGCCCAUGUGGCCCUUGAAUUUAAAAAAAAUUUUUUUUAUU
Sapajus apella (tufted capuchin) is the source of this 297-nucleotide long non-coding RNA. RefSeq lists it as uncharacterized. Lineage: Eukaryota; Metazoa; Chordata; Mammalia; Primates; Cebidae. The record is from RefSeq and is a predicted model, not a curated record. The transcript is spliced from 2 exons.